CAUUCACGGAGAGUUUGAUCCUGGCUCAGGACGAACGCUGGCGGCGUGCUUAACACAUGCAAGUCGAACGAUGAACCGCUUUCGGGCGGGGAUUAGUGGCGAACGGGUGAGUAACACGUGGGCAAUCUGCCCUGCACUCUGGGACAAGCCCUGGAAACGGGGUCUAAUACCGGAUAUGACUGUCCAUCGCAUGGUGGAUGGUGUAAAGCUCCGGCGGUGCAGGAUGAGCCCGCGGCCUAUCAGCUUGUUGGUGAGGUAGUGGCUCACCAAGGCGACGACGGGUAGCCGGCCUGAGAGGGCGACCGGCCACACUGGGACUGAGACACGGCCCAGACUCCUACGGGAGGCAGCAGUGGGGAAUAUUGCACAAUGGGCGAAAGCCUGAUGCAGCGACGCCGCGUGAGGGAUGACGGCCU
This 416-nucleotide ribosomal RNA is filed under the name Streptomyces sp. SID8385. RNAcentral's name for it is "bacterial SSU rRNA". It matches the Rfam family "Bacterial small subunit ribosomal RNA", at positions 1 to 417 of the family's 1533-position model. Lineage: Bacteria; Bacillati; Actinomycetota; Actinomycetes; Kitasatosporales; Streptomycetaceae. The record is from RNAcentral.